AUGAACGCUGGCGGCGUGCCUAACCCAUGCAAGUCGAACGAAGCACCUUACCUGAUUCUUCGGAUGAAAGUUUGGUGACUGAGUGGCGGACGGGUGAGUAACGCGUGGGUAACCUGCCCUGUACAGGGGGAUAACAGCUGGAAACGGCUGCUAAUACCGCAUAAGCGCACGAGGAGACAUCUCCUUGUGUGAAAAACUCCGGUGGUACAGGAUGGGCCCGCGUCUGAUUAGCUGGUUGGCAGGGUAACGGCCUACCAAGGCAACGAUCAGUAGCCGGUCUGAGAGGAUGAACGGCCACAUUGGAACUGAGACACGGUCUAAACUCCUACGGGAGGCAGCAGUGGGGAAUAUUGCACAAUGGGGGAAACCCUGAUGCAGCAACGCCGCGUGAGUGAAGAAGUAUUUCGGUAUGUAAAGCUCUAUCAGCAGGGAAGAUAAUGACGGUACCUGACGAAGAAGCUCCGGCUAAAUACGUG
This 476-nucleotide ribosomal RNA is filed under the name uncultured bacterium. RNAcentral's name for it is "partial 16S ribosomal RNA". It matches the Rfam family "Bacterial small subunit ribosomal RNA", at positions 29 to 507 of the family's 1533-position model. The record is from RNAcentral.